This 392-nucleotide ribosomal RNA is filed under the name Peregrinia sp. RNAcentral describes it as "partial small subunit ribosomal RNA". It matches the Rfam family "Eukaryotic small subunit ribosomal RNA", at positions 587 to 975 of the family's 1831-position model. Lineage: Eukaryota; Cercozoa; Imbricatea; Thaumatomonadida; Thaumatomastigidae. The record is from RNAcentral.
AGCUCCAAUAGCGUAUAUUAAAGUUGUUGCAGUUAAAAAGCUCGUAGUUGGAUUUCUGGUUUAGUGCGCUUGACCCGCCGCCGUUAGGCGUGUGAGUGUCGAUGCGCGCUUACCAUCCUUCUAGAGAACGUUUCUGCCCUUUACUGGGUUGGACUCGCAAUCUAGAACUUUUACUUUGAAAAAAUUAGAGUGUUUAAAGCAGGCUCGCGCUAUGAAUACACUAGCAUGGAAUAAUAACUUAGGACUUUAGUCUUAUUUUGUUGGUUUCUAGGACUGAAGUAAUGAUUGAUAGGGAUAGUUGGGGGUGCUAGUAUUCAGCGGCCAGAGGUGAAAUUCUUGGAUUCGCUGAAGACUAACUUAUGCGAAAGCAUUCACCAAGGAUGUCUUCUUUA